Molecule: ribosomal RNA, 253 nt
Filed under: uncultured bacterium
Lineage: Bacteria
Description: partial 16S ribosomal RNA
Rfam family: Bacterial small subunit ribosomal RNA
Source: RNAcentral
UACGUAGGGACCGAGCGUUGUCCGGAAUCAUUGGGCGUAAAGAGCGUGUAGGCGGCUCGCUAAGUCUUGCGUGAAAUCUCGGGGCUCAACCCCGAGCGGUCGUGAGAAACUGGCGGGCUAGAGUGCGGGAGAGGAGAGUGGAAUUCCUGGUGUAGCGGUGGAAUGCGCAGAUAUCAGGAGGAACACCAAUAGCGAAGGCAGCUCGCUGGGACGUUACUGACACUGAGGCGCGAAAGCGUGGGGAGCGAACAGG